RNAcentral lists this small RNA (2248 nucleotides) under Rattus norvegicus (Norway rat). RNAcentral describes it as "uncharacterized LOC102548297". The record is from RNAcentral. Lineage: Eukaryota; Metazoa; Chordata; Mammalia; Rodentia; Muridae.
AACUGUGCUAUCCUUGCUGUGAGACAAUACCUUCCCCCAGAGCAAGAAUCUGGAUCUGAGAAGAGUUGAUGUGCCCCAUAUACCAGUCAAUACAUGGCCUUCCAUUGUACUUCCUUCCUUGCCUUCUCUCAUGAAGGACUUCUUCCUUCCAUAGGUACAAGCUGUUGAGCAACUUAUGGAGUCUUAAGCAUAGACUGGUUCUGUCUAUUCCAUCUCUUUUGUUCCCUGCCAAGCAUUCAAAAGCAGGAAAGAACCAUUACUGUAUAACAUCUACAGCCCCAUUGCCUCCCUGUUGACUCUAACUGUUGUACUACAGAAGGGGGUACCAAGGCCUUCCCUGGGGCUCAACUGUGGGAAAAAAAAGAUGCUCAUGGGCUACUGCAUUUCUAGCUCUGGGGAGAAAACAUGGUCCUCUAUUUCUAAGAGUUCACAGUCUGAUGACAGAAACAUAAACUGCUAGAACUUGGCUUGAUUAGACAUCAGCAGGUCUCUGCAGAAUGCUUUGAGAACACACGUGAGCAGGAAACCGAUUUUCUCAGAGAGUCAGAGAAAGUUACAAAGAGCAGGUCAUGCCUGCCCUGAGCUGUGAGUCAAAAAUAGCUAGGCAUGGGAGAUGAAGGAGACAUGGUGGGCCAGAAAGGAGCAUUUGCCCAGACAUAGACAUGAAAAAGAAUGGGCAAGUCCCUGACAGGAGACAGGGAAUGAUCCUAGAAAGCCACAAGAGCCCAUGCCUACCCCCUGACUCGUCUGGAACCCUGGGAAGAUGAAGACGCUGAAGAAUAUCAUCAACGGGAAAGAGUGCCAGGGAUCAUGCUGCCAGUCUGAGAGGCUGGAAGACCACGGCUGUGGUAGCAUUAGCCAUCGCUUGUGCAAUACAGCAUCGGAGUAUCCACAAAUUAUCACCGCCAGUUUUCAUUACACAGUCAAGGGAAGCAGAUGCUAGGGAAGUUCACUCAGUAGGCAACAGCAGGAUUAGAACUUACCCUGGGUUCUAUACUCCAAAGGCCAUAGAGGAGAUUAUGACCCAUGAGGACCUCAGUACAGCACCCCAACCUAAAGGAUGAGGAAUCUCCUGAUUCUGGAGCAGACCUACCUCCCCUUCCUUAAUCAUCAGAAGCUCCUCUACAGUAUCCCUGUACUAUCACUCGUUCCUUCCCAUCCUCUGCUUCUUAGAGUAUGUCCGCUCCUUCUUUCAUGGUGUUCCUUAAGCCUUAUAGGGGGUUGAUGUAGCUGUCCCACAUCGGGCUGAGCACUCAGGAAUCACUUUUUCUCAGCCCUUUGGUUUUUUGAGUCUCUGAAUUAACUUCAGCCCACUGCAGAAGCUGAGAGCACCACAGAUCUAUGGUUAUGAAUGCCCAGCAACCAUUAGGCAAAACGUAAAGACCCAAGGCAGAAGGCUGGAAGGGAAGCAGAUGCUUGCACGAUGGGCUGAGCCAUUCUGAACUGCUGUUCCCACCUGUAUGACUCCUGCAUACUGACUGUUAAACAUCCCCAGCCUCAAAAGUUCAGAAGUACGGGUGCAUGUUUCAUAACCUGGAAGGACAUCCAUGGCAAAUCACCAAGGGAUAGAAAGGUUUCUAAGUAAUAUGAAAGACAAGAAUCUGGGGGCAGCAAAGCUGGGUUCUCUGAUGCAGGGUUCUCUCUGGAGACAACUGUGCAAACAUUGACAGGAAUUACAAGUCACCUGAGACCCGAUGGGAAGACAACCCACUCCAUGGUGGCUGACUCAGCGGUUCCCGGGAACUUUGCUCCUCGACAUGUGGACCUGACCAUUGGUUACUUCCUCACAACACAGAAGCUGGCUUCUUCCAGAGCAGGCAAUGUAAGGAUAGAAAGGAAGGUGAACGCAGUGUCCUCUGUGACCUAAUUUCUGAAAUUACAGACUGUCGCUGUCACUUUACUGUUGGAAGUCACUGAGGCCUGUCUACUCAGGUGUGGGGCACUGAACACCACUUCUUGGAAAGCAGAGUCUGAAAGCACUUGUGAGCUGUCACAGGAGCCAUGACAGAGACCUGAGGUCCCCAACACCUUUGGUCUUCCUAAAGGGACCACGUGAGUACAUGGUUCAGUCAGGUUAACUCACCCUGGGUAAAUAUUGAUCAUUAAAAGACAAGAAAAGAGAAAAAGAGAGGGAGAGAUGGGGGAGAGAUUGAAGUAUGAUGUUUUCUCAGGGCCUAUCUGGAAGAAGUGCCACGUGGCUGGACAGCUCAGCCUCUGUGGAUGUGCUGAUACCUCGGCAAGGCACAGA